RNAcentral lists this ribosomal RNA (843 nucleotides) under uncultured microorganism. RNAcentral's name for it is "bacterial SSU rRNA". It matches the Rfam family "Archaeal small subunit ribosomal RNA", at positions 488 to 1338 of the family's 1478-position model. The record is from RNAcentral.
GUGGUGGGGAUGUUUAUUGGGCCUAAAGCAUUCGUAGCCUGCUUGGCAAGUCCUCCGUUAAAUCCAACGAUUCAAUCGUUGGGCUGCGGGGGAUACUGUCCGGCUAGGGGGCGGGAGAGGCCGACGGUAUCCCCGGGGUAGGGGUGAAAUCCUAUAAUCCCGGGAGGACCACCAGUGGCGAAGGCUGUCGGCUAGAACGUGCUCGACGGUGAGGGAUGAAAGCUGGGGGAGCGAACCGGAUUAGAUACCCGGGUAGUCCCAGCUGUAAACGAUGCAGGCUAGGUGUUGGCGCGGCUACGUGCCGCUCCAGUGCCGCAGGGAAGCCGUUAAGCCUGCCGCCUGGGAAGUACGGCCGCAAGGCUGAAGCUUAAAGGUAUUGGCGGGGGAGCACCACAAGGUGUGAAGCUUGCGGUUUAAUUGGAGUCAACGCCGGAAAUCUCACCGGGGGCGACAGCAGAAUGAAGGUCAGAUUGAAGGUCUUACCAGACAAGCUGAGAGGAGGUGCAUGGCCGUCGCCAGUUCGUGCCGUGAGGUGUCCUGUUAAGUCAGGCAACGAUCGAGACCCGCGUCCCCUGUUGCCACCGGCCUUGAGCCGAGCACACUGGGGAGACUGCCGUCGAUAAGGCGGAGGAAGGAGCGGGCCACGGCAGGUCAGUAUGCCCCGAAUCCCCCGGGCUACACGCGAGCUGCAAUGGCAGGUACAGAGGGUCCCGACUCUGAAAAGAGAAGGAAAUCCCGAAAGCCUGCCGUAGUUGGGAUCGAGGGUUGUAACUCACCCUCGUGAACAUGGAAUACCUAGUAACCGCGUGUCACUACCGCGCGGUGAAUACGUCCCUGCUCCUU